UCCCACAGGCUGUACUUGUUGAUGCCCCGCUGCGGUUGUGGUGUGGGGACAGCUUCCUCACAUGCCUUUCCCCAAGUGAGUGGCAGUGGCCCUCAUGAGGGUUUGGCAGCUCUUUACUGAAAGCGUUGGGGGAGGGGGAAAUGAAUGGUCGUUCCAAGGAGAGAGGAUGUGGGUUUUGUGCCCUUGGUCUAGUUUUCUUGCAGCACAGCUCCACUGUUUGCUGUCCAGGCUUUCCGCCACGUGGAUGCUUCCCAGGUCUCCUGUCUGCUCUCCCUGCAUGGACCUCUCUCUCCUUCCUCACACUCUGCUUCCCUUGUCUUGCAAAGCACUCUUUCUUUAACCCUUUCUCCCUCCUGUGUUCUUGGCUUGUCCAGCUCUGCUUCCCUACCCUCUUCAAUCUGGGUCCCCAGAUGCAUCAGUCUCUUCCUGUUGAACAGAUGUUGCCACCUAGUGUGUUGAAUUUGUUUUGUUUCUCCUCCAUCCAGUGACUGCUGCUCCACAAAGAGGUGUGAGUGGGUUCUGGCUGAUGUGCCUUCCCACCCCCGGAAAAACAGGACAGUGAGCUUUAGUCCCAUGGAGGGUAGAGGGCCCAUGGAGCUGCCAGGGCAAGGCUUUCCCUCUGGGCUGCAGCAGCUUCUCUCUGACAGUAGCCAGUCAAACAUCUCACUACAGUGCAGAUGGAUUUCGUUCCCAAAACUUCAUCUAGUGUGCAAAAAAUUUCAUAAUCUGUCUAUCAUGCAAUUUUGACCGCCUCCUUUUUUUAACAACCAGUACUAAAUACUUGGGACUUAUUAUACUAAAAUAUGCUUGCCCCAUUUUUAUCCUGACUUGCAUUGUAAACCACUCUGUUAACUGACUCUGGUUCGUAAGAAGCAGGAUGGCUCAAGAGGUGUGCGUGCUGCUUUUCGAAGUAGGUUAUUUGGGUUUGAAUGUCAGCUUCACCCCUUCACAGCUGGCUCAGCUCAGACAAGUGAUCUAAGCAUCCUGGAUCAACUUUCUCCAGCCCAUGGAAAUAUUGUAAAAUAAAAUAGACUUUAAAAGCAACAACAAAUGCAACAAAUGAAGCCACUUUGGAUUCUGAGGUGAACAGACCAACUGCAAAAAAAUUUUUUAUGACAAUUGGGGAAUUUUUAACAUAGAGUUGUUAUUAAAUCUUGUUAAGAAAUUAUUGUUCAAUUUUUUGCAAAUUUUAUGAUGGCAUGAUGGUUAUGUUUGAAAAAGUCCUCAUUAGCUAGCUGUGAGAUGUACUUAAAAAUACUUGUGCAAAAAAAAGAUUGAUAAAACAAUGUGGCAAACCACAUCCAUAAAUAGUGAGUCUAAAUAAUGGAUUUAAAGAGACUUAUUUUACUUCUUUUGUUUUUGUUUGAAAAUUUUCAUAAUAGUAAGCCUGUAGAAAAAGAUAUAUUCUUAUUAGAUGAUAUUUUUUAAAUCCAGCUCAAUGCUACUUUUAAAUAAUCAAGCUUAAGAAAAAGUAAAGCAGAAAAGUGGAUAAUAAAGCUGUGUAAAAAAAUAUAUUAGGAAAAUAGCCAAAUAAAGCUAUAAACAAUACUAUCAGGAAAAGGUGCUUUAAACACAAAAUUAUCAGUAGGGUUAAGGAAAGACACUGCUAAUGAUAAAAAGAAUGAUUCACCAAAAUAUGCAGUUGUCAUAAACUUAGAUGCACAAAGCAAAAUGAGACAGAAAUGAGUGUCAAAUCCAUAGAUAGAUGGGAGAAUUCUAACACAUUUCUCUCAAAGGUUGAGAUCAGUGGAGUUCCUGUCAUGGCUCAUCAGUUAAAGAACCUGACUAGUAUCCAGGAGGAUUCAGAUUCGAUCCCUGGCCUUACUCAAUGGGUUAAGGAUCCCGAGUUGCUGUGAGCUGUGGUGUAGGCCGGCAGCUAUAGCUCUGAUUUGACCCCUAGCCUGGGAACCUCCAUAUGCUGCAGGUGCAGCCAUAAAAAGACCAAAUUAAAAAAAAAAUUGAGAUCGAGAACAGAAAUUUGGUAAAGACACAAGAGAUUUAAAUAGAACAAAUACCAAAAUUGCCUAUAAAAUUCUGAACUAGGAAGUAGAGAACAUAAACCCUUUUCAAACACUCUGGAACGCUUAUGAGAAUUGACCACUUUCUAGGCUGUAAAGUUCCAACAAGGUGAUAACCUAUAAAACAGGUUUUUGACCACAAUGCAAUUAGAUUCAGUAUCAGCAAUAAAAAUGCUAAAGGGUGAAUCAUAGUGGAAGAUGUCAAUUUCUUAAAAAUCAUUUCCAAAGAAAGUUUUAAAAACUGGUAGGAUAUAUAUACAUAUAUAUAUAUAUAGGCAAGCAGUGUGCAGAGAAAAUUUACAACUUUAAAUGCAUGUAUUAAAAAACCAAGAAAAUUUACAUAAGAACAAGCUGAAUAUUCAACUCUACAAGUGAGAGCAGAAGACUACAGAGUAAAUACCAAAAAGAAGAAAGGAAAUAAUAAAGAUUGGACUAGAAAAUAAUUAAAAAGAAUAUGCAGACAUAGUCAAUAAUAUAAAAGCCAAUUCUUUGAAAAAACUAAAAAGUUAGAAAAUCUUGGAGUUCCUGUUGUGGCUCAGCAGUAACGCACCUGAAUAGUAUCCAUGAGGACGCGGGUUUGAUCCCUGGCCUCGCUCAGUGGGUUAAGGAGCUCAGCGGGUUAAGAGUGUUGCUCUGAGCUGUGGUAUAGGUCACAGACAUGGCUCCAAUUCGACCCCUAGCCUGGGAACUUCCAUAUGCCACAUGUGCAGACCUAAAAAGAAAAAAAAAAAGAAAAA
This 2755-nucleotide long non-coding RNA is filed under the name Sus scrofa (pig). RNAcentral describes it as "lncRNA (ENSSSCG00030074814.1)". Lineage: Eukaryota; Metazoa; Chordata; Mammalia; Artiodactyla; Suidae. The record is from RNAcentral.